GGGCAGGGGGCUAUCUGCAGUCAACGCCGCGAAGGUGCUUGCACCUUUCAGUGAGUGGCGAACGGGUGAGUAACACGUGGACAACCUGCCUCAAGGCUGGGGAUAACAUUUGGAAACAGAUGCUAAUACCGAAUAAAACUUAGUGUCGCAUGACACAAAGUUAAAAGGCGCUUCGGCGUCACCUAGAGAUGGAUCCGCGGUGCAUUAGUUAGUUGGUGGGGUAAAGGCCUACCAAGACAAUGAUGCAUAGCCGAGUUGAGAGACUGAUCGGCCACAUUGGGACUGAGACACGGCCCAAACUCCUACGGGAGGCUGCAGUAGGGAAUCUUCCACAAUGGGCGAAAGCCUGAUGGAGCAACGCCGCGUGUGUGAUGAAGGCUUUCGGGUCGUAAAGCACUGUUGUAUGGGAAGAACAGCUAGAAUAGGAAAUGAUUUUAGUUUGACGGUACCAUACCAGAAAGGGACGGCUAAAUACGUGCCAGCAGCCGCGGUAAUACGUAUGUCCCGAGCGUUAUCCGGAUUUAUUGGGCGUAAAGCGAGCGCAGACGGUUUAUUAAGUCUGAUGUGAAAGCCCGGAGCUCAACUCCGGAAUGGCAUUGGAAACUGGUUAACUUGAGUGCAGUAGAGGUAAGUGGAACUCCAUGUGUAGCGGUGGAAUGCGUAGAUAUAUGGAAGAACACCAGUGGCGAAGGCGGCUUACUGGACUGCAACUGACGUUGAGGCUCGAAAGUGUGGGUAGCAAACAGGAUUAGAUACCCUGGUAGUCCACACCGUANACGAUGAACACUAGGUGUUAGGAGGUUUCCGCCUCUUAGUGCCGAAGCUAACGCAUUAAGUGUUCCGCCUGGGGAGUACGACCGCAAGGUUGAAACUCANAGGAAUUGACGGGGAACCGCACAAGCGGGG
RNAcentral lists this ribosomal RNA (906 nucleotides) under Leuconostoc mesenteroides. RNAcentral's name for it is "bacterial SSU rRNA". It matches the Rfam family "Bacterial small subunit ribosomal RNA", at positions 37 to 934 of the family's 1533-position model. The record is from RNAcentral. Lineage: Bacteria; Bacillati; Bacillota; Bacilli; Lactobacillales; Lactobacillaceae.